GCAAGAGUGGUGUAGUGGUUUGAGCAUUAAACUACAGAGCUGGCGAUCAGGGUUCGAUUCCCUGUUCAGCCA
Non-coding RNA from Phrynosoma platyrhinos (Desert horned lizard), 72 nucleotides. The record is from the annotation of a GenBank genome assembly. Lineage: Eukaryota; Metazoa; Chordata; Lepidosauria; Squamata; Phrynosomatidae.